This 299-nucleotide small nuclear RNA is filed under the name Bos taurus (domestic cattle). RNAcentral describes it as "7SK RNA". It matches the Rfam family "7SK RNA". From Rfam's summary of the family: 7SK was discovered as an abundant small nuclear RNA in the mid-70s but a possible function has only recently been suggested. The record is from Rfam by way of RNAcentral. Lineage: Eukaryota; Metazoa; Chordata; Mammalia; Artiodactyla; Bovidae. RNAcentral also lists the same sequence under 2 other names.
GGAUGUGAGGGCAAUCUGGUUGCAAUAUCUGUCACCACAUUGAUCUCCAGGACUGGUUUGGCUGAUCUGGCUGGCUAGGCAGGUGCCCCCUUCCUCUGAAACCUGCUUGUUUGGUUGAAGAGGACGACCAUCCCUGAUAGAGGAGGACAGGUCUUUGGUCAAGAGUAUACAGGUAGCUGUGCUCCCCCUCUGGAACCUCCAAACAAGCUCUCAUCACUGGCAGGGACAGUUACCAUGACUGUGCUAAUCACACAGCACCCCUGGAGCAGAGACGAAUGUUGGGGUGGCAACCAUACUGU